AGUGAACGCUGGCGGUAGGCCUAACACAUGCAAGUCGAACGUCAGCACAGUAAGAGCUUGCUCUUACGGGUGGCGAGUGGCGGACGGGUGAGGAAUACAUCGGAAUCUACUUUUUCGUGGGGGAUAACGUAGGGAAACUUACGCUAAUACCGCAUACGACCUACGGGUGAAAGCAGGGGAUCUUCGGACCUUGCGCGAUUGAAUGGGCCGAUGUCGGAUUAGCUAGUUGGCGGGGUAAAGGCCCACCAAGGCGACGAUCCGUAGCUGGUCUGAGAGGAUGAUCAGCCACACUGGAACUGAGACACGGUCCAGACUCCUACGGGAGGCAGCAGUGGGGAAUAUUGGACAAUGGGCGCAAGCCUGAUCCAGCCAUACCGCGUGGGUGAAGAAGGCCUUCGGGUUGUAAAGCCCUUUUGUUGGGAAAGAAAAGCAGCAGGUUAAUACCCCGCUGUUCUGACGGUACCCAAAGAAUAAGCACCGGCUAACUUCGUG
This 492-nucleotide ribosomal RNA is filed under the name uncultured bacterium. RNAcentral's name for it is "partial 16S ribosomal RNA". It matches the Rfam family "Bacterial small subunit ribosomal RNA", at positions 29 to 507 of the family's 1533-position model. The record is from RNAcentral.